AAUAUUGGGACAUAUAAAAAAAAGACAACUGUUCCGCGAGUAGCUGUUGAGAUUAUAGUUGCGCAGACACUUUGUUGACUCUAGAGAACCUCGGGCCAAUCGCACAUCCCCGUGGCGGCGACUUUGCAUGCGGAUGUCAUCCAUAUCAACUUUCGAUGCCAGUUUCUACGCCUACCAUGGUAACCAGGGGUAACAGGAAAUCAGGGUUCAAUUCCGUACAGGGACCCUGAGAAACGGCCACCACAUGCAAGGAAGGCAGCAGGCGCGCAAAUGACCCACUCCCGACGCAGGAAGGUAGUGA
This is a non-coding RNA of Pelobates cultripes (western spadefoot toad), 301 nucleotides long. NCBI's taxonomy places the organism in Eukaryota, Metazoa, Chordata, Amphibia, Anura, Pelobatidae. The record is from the annotation of a GenBank genome assembly.